Molecule: small nuclear RNA, 109 nt
Organism: Suncus etruscus (white-toothed pygmy shrew)
Lineage: Eukaryota; Metazoa; Chordata; Mammalia; Eulipotyphla; Soricidae
Source: RefSeq, a predicted model, not a curated record
GUGCUUGCAUUAGCAGCAUAUACACUAAAAUUGGAAUGAUACAAUUAGAAGAUUAGCAUGGCCCCUGCGCAAGGAUGACACGCAAAUUUGUGAAGCGUUCCUAUAUAUA